Molecule: long non-coding RNA, 1434 nt
Organism: Anguilla rostrata (American eel)
Lineage: Eukaryota; Metazoa; Chordata; Actinopteri; Anguilliformes; Anguillidae
Exons: 4
Source: RefSeq, a predicted model, not a curated record
CAGAACAUAACAGUAUUUUAAUUAUACAUUUUGACAGGUGCCAUUGCCCCAGCAUUGGACCAGGAGGUAACAAACCUUUGCCAAAAUCAACCUUUUGGUCUCAUGUGUGACAAGAGUACCAACAGAAGCGCAGAGAAGGAGUUCGUGAUAUUGGCCAGAGUUUUUGAUGAGGAAACUCAAGAGGUGGUCACCAAGUUCCUGCAUAUGCCAGUAUGCAACAUUGGAACAGCAGAGCACCUAUUUAGGUCCCUGACCACAGUGCUAAGUGAGAGAAACAUUGACUGGCACAACAUGGUGGCCUUUAACAGUGAUAACGCCAGUGUAAUGAAAGGGAGGUGUAACACUGUGGCCAGUCGGAUCAAAGAGAUUCAGCCAUACCUAAUCGACAUAGGUUGUAUUUGUCAUCUGGUCCAGCUGGAAGCACGAUGUGGCAUCAAAGCUCUCCACCAGCCUAUUGAAGAGGUCUUAAGCAGCAUAUAUGCUCACUUUGACAUCAGUGCCAAGUGAUGUGAGCUCUACAAGGAGUUUGUUCAGUUCAUAGAUUCAGAGACUCUGAAGCUUCUCAGGUACUGUGCAACGAGGUGGCUCAGCCUGCUGUCUUACAUAAACCAUGUGCUCAACCAGUGGAAUGCACUGCAGGCAUAUUUUGACAGUCACGAGGAUGUGGAGAAGCCUGGCAAGGUGAAGAUGCUGGCAGGCCAUUUAGCCAGCAAGGAGACAAAGUUCUUCUUCCUCUUCCUCUCCCAGGCUCUGAAACCACUGGCAGAUUUCAAUGUUGCGUUUCAGGCUGAAGGGGUGAUGGUACAUAGGCUGCACAAGGAGAUGACCAGCCUGGUAAGAAGAUGCCUGGGAAGAUUUCUCCCAGCCCACCUUAUUGCUGAUGCCAAAAGUUGCCAGAUGAAGACCUCUUUCUUGGAGAGGCUUCACAAAGAUACUUGAGGACAACAUGGAUGACCUUUCCUCUUCAGUCCCAAGGAUGUUUAACCAGAUUACUGAACUCAGACAUUCGGUGCUACUGCAACCAAAGUAUGAGUUAAAAACAUAGACGCAUUGUUUUAGUUUCAUUAGUAGGCAAUGUACGACAACUAUGCCGAAUACGGAGUUUCGCAGCACCGCCAUUGUCGCUCUGGUCAUUCAUUUAACACGCACCCCCUCUCUGCAGUCUCAUCUACAACUACACCCCCCACCCAUGACAUAAUGGACAAUAUUUUCUAUCUUGGCAUUUCAAAAAUAUUCUUUCACUGCUCAAAAAUCGUAUUCCGUCAUAGCAACCAGAUAAACCCAAUAAUAGCCCUGAGAUAUGCCAAUACAGCAGUGAAAACGCUUCUCACUGAAUAACGAAAUAAACAAGAAAAUGUUUUUUAAAAUGAUACCAUGUCAUUCUACAGUCAAUAUCUGGGACUAAUAUUGAAUAAAUAUACAACCUUACUGUUG